RNAcentral lists this non-coding RNA (32 nucleotides) under Mus musculus (house mouse). Lineage: Eukaryota; Metazoa; Chordata; Mammalia; Rodentia; Muridae. The record is from RNAcentral.
UGAUAAGACUGUGCCUAAUUUCCUUUGGAGAC